UUUCCGUAGGUGAACCUGCGGAAGGAUCAUUAUAGUACAAAAAGUGAGGGGCAUGCGAGGGGUGUCGCUGAUCCCUUAGUCGUGCAUGUCCGAGUGCGUCCUUUUGCAUAAUAAUCCAUCUUACCCUUUUUGGUCCACCGCAUGGGCACCCUCCGGGAUCAUCUCGGAGGGGGGCCCGCGUUUUCACACAAACCCCCCUUUUAAAGGUGUUGAAUGACCACAUUUAUGCAAUGAAUACAACUUUCAACAACGGAUCUCUUGGCUCUC
RNAcentral lists this unclassified non-coding RNA (267 nucleotides) under plant metagenome. RNAcentral describes it as "partial contains small subunit ribosomal RNA, internal transcribed spacer 1, and 5.8S ribosomal RNA". The record is from RNAcentral.